CUUGGUCAUUUAGAGGAAGUAAAAGUCGUAACAAGGUCUCCGUUGGUGAACCAGCGGAGGGAUCAUUACCGAGUUUACAACUCCCAAACCCCUGUGAACAUACCUUUAUGUUGCCUCGGCGGAUCAGCCCGCGCCCAGUAAAACGGGACGGCCCGCCGCAGGAACCACAAAACUCUGAUUUUAGUGUAACUUCUGAGUCUAAAAAACAAAUAAAUCAAAACUUUCAACAACGGAUCUCUUGGUUCUGGCAUCGAUGAAGAACGCAGCAAAAUGCGAUAAGUAAUGUGAAUUGCAGAAUUCAGUGAAUCAUCGAAUCUUUGAACGCACAUUGCGCCCGCCAGUAUUCUGGCGGGCAUGCCUGUUCGAGCGUCAUUUCAACCCUCAAGCCCCCGGGUUUGGUGUUGGGGAUCGGGCUGUACUCCAGCCCGGCCCCGAAAUCUAGUGGCGGUCUCGCUGCAGCCUCCAUUGCGUAGUAGCUAACACCUCGCAACUGGAACGCGGCGCGGCCAAGCCGUUAAACCCCCAACUUCUGAAUGUUUGACCUCGGAUCAGGUAGGAAUACCCGCUGAACUUAAGCAUAUCAAUAAGCGGAGGA
This 595-nucleotide unclassified non-coding RNA is filed under the name uncultured fungus. RNAcentral's name for it is "sequence contains ITS1, 5.8S rRNA gene and ITS2". The stretch from base 219 to 372 matches the Rfam family "5.8S ribosomal RNA". Lineage: Eukaryota; Fungi. The record is from RNAcentral.